Molecule: long non-coding RNA, 1237 nt
Filed under: Homo sapiens (human)
Lineage: Eukaryota; Metazoa; Chordata; Mammalia; Primates; Hominidae
Description: non-protein coding LINC01029:7
Source: RNAcentral
CCUCCCCAGCCACGCGAAGCAGAAGGAGAGUGCAUGAGAUUAUAUAAAGACUCAGAGAAGAGAUACAGCUCCUCCCGCACCAGAGAAAUGCAGCUCCGUGAGCCCCGAUGGAGCCAGCAUGCUGCUGGGUGCUGAGGAGCAGGCAGAGGCACCCAGGAUGGCGGUCCCCAAGGAGAACGGAGGCACAGAACAACGCAUGAGGGGCCACAUGACUUAGGGCCGGGAUCGGUCACUCAGCCAGCAAAAACACUGGAAGAAAACAAAACAACUUCAGACUCUAUGCUGCAUUUCCGUAAUAUAUCUGCCCAAAGACUGGACAACAAAGGUAAAGGAGGCUGAUGAGGAAACGAAAGGAUCCGUGGUUCUUGGCUCGCUGGGUGGCUCAUCAACAAAGCCCCAGCAUCACUCCUGCAGAUGCCCUAGCCUGGCCUGGGCUGGGAUGGGCAAAAUUCACCAUGGGACUCUUGUUCAAGAGAGGGAGAUCAAAGCCAGAAACACUUACCCAGAAUGGCCAUGCAGACUAAAAUUCCAAUUCUAAAAAUACUUUUAAAAUGUAACGUACAACAAAGGAAAGCUGGAAAAAUAUUUAAAAAAGGAUGAAAGGGCAAGAAAAAUUCAACCCACGACCUCAAGGCGAUUAUAAUCUGUGUUCUGCUGCUUCCCAGAGCCGCUUCAGUCUUCAGCUCAGAGUCUACCAGACACUAAAAUGCAACUGAACACUCAGUUCAUACUUGUUCUUCUAAUUAGCUGCCUCUUCCAUUUGAUUAAUAUUGCCUCCUAAUUUAAUUGUAAAUUGUAUUUCUGGUUUAUAUUUCGCUUCUCCCUCCUGUUGUACCUGGUGACCAUCUUCAUUAAUCAUAUUGUAGCUUUUUAAUGAAUCUCAUAUGCCAAUUUAUGGUGAACAAGACUUGAUAUGAAGGCAUCUUCAUCAAAUCAUUCAUAAUCUUGUAACUAUUGGUUUAUUUUCUGUAACGACCUAUAAAUGUACACCAAAAAAAUGAAAGAUUCCCCCUAAAAUGUAAUGGGACAGAACUUUGUUUACGUAGAUUUCUGAGGAUGGGUUGAGACGCCAAAUUCCGCUUGUGUUUGGAAUUUCUAUUUCACUGGGCUUAGUGAGGGUGCCCAUGUUUUGCAAUCCUGUGCUCUAGAAUCUAUCAUAAACAGAUUCUUCUAAUUGUUUGACAUUAAACUGCAAAUUUGUGUUUUUGUGUCUGCUCAAAUAUAAAAUGUCUUUGGG